RNAcentral lists this transfer RNA (51 nucleotides) under Dermestes maculatus (common hide beetle). Its description in RNAcentral is "tRNA-Arg". The record is from RNAcentral. Lineage: Eukaryota; Metazoa; Arthropoda; Insecta; Coleoptera; Dermestidae.
UAAAUAAGAAACAAUUAAUUGUAUUUAGUUUCGACCUAAAAUUUUGAUGUU